Molecule: ribosomal RNA, 495 nt
Filed under: uncultured bacterium
Lineage: Bacteria
Description: partial 16S ribosomal RNA
Rfam family: Bacterial small subunit ribosomal RNA
Source: RNAcentral
GACGAACGCUGGCGGCGUGCCUAAUACAUGCAAGUAGAACGCUGAAGGAGGAGCUUGCUUCUCUGGCUGAGUUGCGCACGGGUGAGUAACGCGUAGGUAACCUGCCUGGUAGGGGGGGAUAACUGUUGGAAACGAUAGCUAAUACCGCAUAAUAGUAGAUGUUGCAUGACAUUUUCCUAACAGCUGCAAUUGCAUCACUACCAGAUGGGCCUGCGUUGUAUUAGCUAGUUGGUGGGGUAACGGCUCACCAAGGCGACGGUACAGAGCCGACCUGGGAGGGAGAUCCGGCACCAUUGGACUGGGACACGGCCCAGACUCCCUCGGGGGGGCAGCAUAGGGGAACUUCGGAAAAUGACGGAAAGCCUGACGAAGCAAGCCGGCGUGGGGAAGGAAGGUCUUCGGACUGAAAGGUCCGUUGUGAGGGAAGAAAGAGUGUUAGGGUGGAAAGUUCACACUGUGACGGUAUCUUACCAGAAAGCGACGGCUAACUACGUG